UGGUCUGUCCAAUCGGAAUCCACGCUUCAAGAUCCUGCUUUUAUCAUGCGGACUGGGACAUGUUCCGGGUAGCUUCAGAAUAAUAUAGACGUCUACGCCGAUUCGGUCAGGGAGAAUUCAGAGGGCAGUGCUAAGUAUGGGAGGUGAGCAAGCGCCUGAAUGCUCAGCUGAAAGAGUCUGAGAAGAGACACCAGGAGGAGAAGGACUGAAUGCAGGUCAGACAGGAGAAAAAGCACAGGUGAGGAGAAUCWGUCGCCAUAACGACUACAAAUCAGUCAUGCAACUGAAACGUAGACUGUCUGCACAUAGUAUCUCAUAUACAACUCUACAUGAGUAUACAACAAUACAGUCCUCAGCAACAGACAUUGUAACAUUGCUACUCUAGCCUACAUCGUUCAUGAAUUGCCAUACUUAUAAGUCCAAAGUUUGAAAAGAGUAUACAGCAUAUUUUUUAAGAUACUAAAAAGGAUACGGUAUACUCCCUUUAAAAUUUGGACCCAUAAAUAUGGCAAGUUCAUACACAGUGUAGAUAUGAUGGUAAUUCUGUUUAUGUAACCACUGGGUUGUGGUGUGAGAACUGAAGGAGCUGGCUGUCCUGAAGGAGAAGAUCCAUCAUCUGGACGACAUGCUGAAGAGCCAGCAGAGAAAGGUCUGCCACAUGAUUGAACAGCUGCAGAAUUCACGGACAGUGACCCAGGAGAGAGAUCAAGUGAUCAGGGAUCCAGAGGUUUUCUGGAAGCUGAGAACACAGAGAUGCGUGACCAGAUGGAGUACUUCCUGGAGGGUCAGAAGCCCGCCUCUCUGCCCACCAAAGAAUGUAAACCCAAAACCCAUCGUCUACAGGUGACAACACCAUCGUCCUGUCUCUUAUCUCUAUAGGGCCGAUUUCCCGGACACAGAUUAAACCUWUUCCUUCGUCCUGUGCUAGGCCUGAUCUGUGUCUGGAAAACUGGCUCAUAAUAGUUCUUCACAUGUGACUCACCUGUCUUAGAAUUCAGUCAGUGUGUGAAGGUUAUUUUCAUGAACAACACAACAGCAAUAAAGUAUACUUUUUGAGGAUAGAAAGGAGGGCCAAGGAAGUGGAAGAAAAUCUAUGUACACCUUAUGUCUUACGGUAUAUUUCUGCUUUUUGCCCACAGUAAGCUGAUAAAACCUUCAACAAUGCAAGGCAAUAAGUCACUUCCUUUAAUCAGUCAUUGAGGUCAAGGCUUGGGAGAGAGAGAGAGAAUAGGAUGUGAGUGAAAGUAGUCUGUCUACGCAUGUACAGUGUAUUCGGGAAAGUAUUCUGACCCCUUGACUUUUUCCACAUUUUGUUACGUUACUGUAACGACUCUCGUCCUGRGAAGAUGAGGAGGAAGGAUCGGACCAAUACGCAGCGUGGUAAGCAAUUAACGUUAGACAACCUCUUGUGAUUAGCAUACAAGCUAAUAAAUCAACUGAACACUGAACAAAAUAACAAAGAGCACGAACGAACAAACGAAACAGUUCUGUAUGGU
Salvelinus sp. IW2-2015 is the source of this 1496-nucleotide non-coding RNA. NCBI's taxonomy places the organism in Eukaryota, Metazoa, Chordata, Actinopteri, Salmoniformes, Salmonidae. The record is from RefSeq and is a predicted model, not a curated record.